AGUGAACGCUGGCGGUAGGCCUAACACAUGCAAGUCGAACGGCAGCACAGUAAGAGCUUGCUCUUACGGGUGGCGAGUGGCGGACGGGUGAGGAAUACAUCGGAAUCUACUUUUUCGUGGGGGAUAACGUAGGGAAACUUACGCUAAUACCGCAUACGACCUACGGGUGAAAGCAGGGGAUCUUCGGAACUUGCGCGAUUGAAUGAGCCGAUGUCGGAUUAGCUAGUUGGCGGGGUAAAGGCCCACCAAGGCGACGAUCCGUAGCUGGUCUGAGAGGAUGAUCAGCCACACUGGAACUGAGACACGGUCCAGACUCCUACGGGAGGCAGCAGUGGGGAAUCUUGGACAAUGGGCGCAAGCCUGAUCCAGCCAUACCGCGUGGGUGAAGAAGGCCUUCGGGUUGUAAAGCCCUUUUGUUGGGAAAGAAAAGCAGCAGGUUAAUACCCCGCUGUUCUGACGGUACCCAAAGAAUAAGCACCGGCUAACUUCGUG
RNAcentral lists this ribosomal RNA (492 nucleotides) under uncultured bacterium. Its description in RNAcentral is "partial 16S ribosomal RNA". It matches the Rfam family "Bacterial small subunit ribosomal RNA", at positions 29 to 507 of the family's 1533-position model. The record is from RNAcentral.